GACGAACGCUGGCGGCGUGCUUAACACAUGCAAGUCGAACGGAAAGGCCCUGCUUUUGUGGGGUGCUCGAGUGGCGAACGGGUGAGUAACACGUGAGUAACCUGCCCUUGACUUUGGGAUAACUUCAGGAAACUGGGGCUAAUACAGGAUAGGAGCUCCUGCUGCAUGGUGGGGGUUGGAAAGUUUCGGCGGUUGGGGAUGGACUCGCGGCUUAUCAGCUUGUUGGGGGGGUAGUGGCUUACCAAGGCUUGGACGGGUAGCCGGCCUGGGAGGGUGACCGGCCACAUUGGGCCUGCGAUACGGCCCAGACUCCUACGGGAGGCAGCAGGCGGGAAUCUUGCACAAUGGGCGGAAGCCUGUUGCAGCAACCCCGCGUGCGGGAUGACGGCCUUCGGGUUGUAAACCGCUUUCGCCUGUGACGAAGCUUGAGUGACGGUACUGGGUAAAGAAGCACCGGCUAACUACGUG
This 468-nucleotide ribosomal RNA is filed under the name uncultured bacterium. RNAcentral's name for it is "partial 16S ribosomal RNA". It matches the Rfam family "Bacterial small subunit ribosomal RNA", at positions 28 to 507 of the family's 1533-position model. The record is from RNAcentral.